GUGCCAGCCGCCGCGGUACUACCGGCAGCCCGAGUGAUGGCCGAUCUUAUUGGGCCUAAAGCGUCUGUAGCUGGCUGCGCAAGUCCGUCGGGAAAUCCACUCGCCCAACGAGUGGGCGUCCGACGGAAACUGCACAGCUUGGGACCGGAAGGCUCGAAGGGUACGUUCGGGGUAGGAGUGAAAUCCUAUAAUCCCGCACGGACCACCGAUGGCGAAAGCACCUCGGAAGGACGGAUCCGACAGUGAGGGACGAAAGCUAGGGUCUCGAACCGGAUUAGAAACCCCAGUAGUCC
RNAcentral lists this ribosomal RNA (293 nucleotides) under uncultured bacterium. Its description in RNAcentral is "partial 16S ribosomal RNA". It matches the Rfam family "Archaeal small subunit ribosomal RNA", at positions 455 to 747 of the family's 1478-position model. The record is from RNAcentral.